CAUAUGUGGAGGAAACUCGAGUACCCCUUCCCCUCCAUCCCCCAGUACCUGCCAGCCCUCGGGAACUCUUGCGUGCAAGGGCGGAAAACCCAAAAAUACCUACACAUGCUCUCCUCCGGUCACCUCCUCCACGCCUGCCGUUCUAACUAACAAUAAUUUUGAAAAAGGAGGAGACGGUGGAGGCCCAUCCGCUUGCGACAACAAAUACCAUGACAAUUCAGAGCGCAUCGUAGCAUUGUCAACUGGGUGGUAUAAUGGGGGAUCCCGGUGUGGAAAGAUGAUCAGGAUAACGGCUCAAAAUGGGAGGAGCGUGUUGGCCAAAGUGGUGGAUGAGUGUGACUCCAUGCACGGCUGUGACAAAGAGCAUGCAGGUCAGCCCCCCUGUGAUAAUAACAUAGUUGAUGGAUCUAAUGCUGUGUGGAAUGCUUUGGGGCUGGAUAUCAAUAUUGGUGAAGUGGACGUUACUUGGUCCAUGGCUUAGGUAUAUGGUUGGUUGGUUACUCGGUUUUUGUGUGUACGUACGUACCCUCCUCUUUGUGUUCCCCUCUCUAUUUUGGUUUGUAUGGCUCCGCCAAGCACUAUUUUUAUGUAAUUUUGCAGCAAUAUAUGCAUGCACUGAAAUAAAACUGGAAGGCACUAGCCCAGUGCCACCAGAACCCCAUUAAGUGGUUUGAUUAAUGAAGAGUGAUUUGCGUCACGAUCUACUUGAACCAUCACAUUGAUUAUUAAUGCAACGCCUAAACUACAUCAACUUCCAAUGAGUAUUUUAUAUUAAUUUGACAUUGAGAUUCACCUUAUAUAUAGCAAUACUGAUCUUGGGAAAAUACAUAUUUUAAAAUUAAAAAGUUGUAAAAUCGAAAGAAACUUAAAAAGUAAAAAGAAAGAAAAGAAAAGAACAUAGAAGGUCUUAUCUAAUGGGUGGUACUAGAUCACUUUGAUGAGGUCGCAGUGAAGAAAUUAACAAGAUCCCCAGGAAAGAGAUGCUGUGCAAUAAGAAAUAUCAUCCUGGAACCCAAAUAUAAAAAGCCCCAUGGAGUUAUUGACGGGUACAUCAGUCAUAUAUAUACAUAUAUAAUACUUUGUCUUGAUCUAUACUUUUCAACAGUUUUUCUAUUAUUGUCUAUCCUAAUACAAGAUAAUUUAACUGAUAAAAGCCUAAGUGCCUUAUACCUAAACCAGAUUUCAUAUCUAUUUAUCUAUUAAAUAAUUUAAAAUAAAAUAAAAUAAUUAAAGUUAGAACACAAAUUAACUCUGAGAUAUGGAACUUAAAUGUUGAUUUUGUCACUUACUAGUCCAUAUUCAAAGUUGGGUUGUAGAAACCCAAUCUUGAUUAGUUGAAUUAAAAAUCAAUAAUUAGGGAAGAUAAAAAAAAACCAAUCAACACACAAAAUAAAAUAUUUUUAACAUGGAAAACUUUCAUGCAAUAUGAAGAAAUAAAAAGUCAGAAGUCAUAAACUUCAAAUCUACAUCUAUUAUAUGAGAAUACAAUACACACUUUUAUCUAGCAGAUUGCAUUUGAAUCUCAUCUUAGCGCUUAAAAUGAUGCAAAUCUCCUUCACAAUCCAACAAAGACAAACAUGAACACUUCCUUGAAAGCUUUAAGAAUAAGAAGACAAAUUACAUUUUCCAGCUAGAAAAACUAAGCCAAAAACCUUUUUGAGUAAGGUAUAUGUACGCCCACAGACUUAGUGGACCAAUUCUCAAAAAAUCCUCAUGCAAUUUAAAUCCUUUAAAAUUGGAAAGAGAAAACUUUAGAAUUCUAGAGGAUUCUAUGUCGAGUGCUCAAGCACCCUCAUAUAGGGAUGACAACGGGGUGGGUUCGGGACAGGUCGCCCCCAUCCCAACCCCACCCCGUUUAUUCGAAAUAAUUCUCAUUCCCAUCCCAUUUAAAAAAUUAAACGGGAUGGGACGGGCCGAGGCGAGUAUGAUAAAUUUUCAUACUUGUCCUGUUUAACUUUUUUUUUUUUUUAAUUUUUUUUAAAAAAAUUACUUUUAAAUUUUUAAUUAUAUUAAAAUAAAUAUAUUUUAUAAAUAAUUAAAUUAUUAUAUUUUUUAUAACUUAUUUUAUUAAAAAUAUUUUAUUAUUAUCUAUAUAUUAAAAAUAAUAAAAUAAAAAUUAAAUUAAAUUAAUUUUAAAUUAUAAAUUAAAUUAAAUUUAAAAAUUAAUUUUAUAUAUAAUCGGAGCAGGGCUGGGUGGAGUGGGGCAAUACCCGAACCAGUCCCGAGUUUUUAAAAAAAUUCUCAAACUCAUCACAAACCUAUUUAUUAAAAUUAAACUCCGUCCCAUUAGAGACGGGACGAGGCGGGUACCCGAAUAAACCCGCCCCAUUGCCAUCCCUACCCUCAGAGCAUUUGAGUGCUUCUCAAGCAUUGAAUCCAGGCUUCAAGGUUCAUGUAGUUUUUAAACCCUAAAAAAAAAUUCAUUUUGAUCAAUUUUAAAAACUCGAUGGAUGUCAUGCUACACCAACUACUAAUUUGUCUUUCUAAGACAUUUCUAUACUUACCAAACUCAAUCGAUGCCAUGUUAUACCAAAAUAUGUAUAUAUAAACCAUUUUAACAAGAUUUUAUUGAUUUUAGUUUUUAAAAAUAGUUUUUUAUUAACCAUAUUUUAGUAAAGGGAAAAAGAGAAAUUCUUAUUAGUAAAUGUUUUCUAAAACAAAUGGAACCCAAAACUCUAAAUGUGCUUUAGAAAUUUUUUGGAAAACCAAAACCUGUUUUCUAAAAGGUUGAAAGAAAGAUAAUAAACAAAAUCUUGUGAGAUCCUUCUAUAUGAAUAUCAUAAAUAUAAAUGAAAAUGAAAAUGAAUAAAAUUACACAAUAUAGCAUGACUUAUCUGUAUAUAUUUGAAAUAUAAUAUUCUUUUAUAAGUGUUAUUACAAUUUAAAGUUAUAUCAAGUAUAUAUAUUUUUUCAUAUUAGGUUAAUUCAUUUUAUUAUAUUUUAUAAAUAGAUUUAAACUUUUUCUUGCAUUAUUUUAAAAUAAAAUUAGAGUAAAGGAAAUGUAAAAUAUAUGAACAAAUUUAAUUUUAGUGUUUUUAUUUGAUUAAGAAAUAAACAAGAAAUAAAAUUUUAUACUUUUUAUUUUUAAAAACGAAUUUUCAUUUUGCUCAACCGAAAGCCUUUUCAAAGUGAUCAUUGUCAAGAGUAUGGGCAACCAAAGGCAGCUAGAGGUUUAGUUGUAGUGUGUAGCAUGUGCAAAGACUUUGAAUUCAAGCCAUAAACGUGCACUACCUCUCUCUCCCUUAGUUGCAUUUGUCAUGUUCUCUUGUGAUGAUCUCCUUUAGAUGCUUAGACCCUUUGGGUCACGUGAACUAGUGGCAAGAAAAAUGAAUUGAUUUCAUGAUGGAGAGUGUAGGGACCCCUCCCCUUGGGAAACACGUGGCACGCGGCUCAUGGUGACGCGUGGCACGUGCUGUCAGCCGGACCAUCAUCAUCCGGAUUCCCCUACAGAUACGUAUGGUGCGACUAUCCUAUCCGGAACCCCCCAAGGAAAGACAAACAACGUUUCAGCUUCUCCUAUCCAAGGAAGAGCAAACGACGCUGGCAGAACGUAGACACCCGGAUAGUCUCCACAAACACAUCCGGAUAUUCAGCAUGAUCCAUCCGGAUAUAAAUCGUCUGGAUGGUCAAUUAAAGUAAAGCGAGUCUUACACGCAAUCACAACAAGCAGCCAUGGCCCACAUCCCAUCACCUGCAGAAUGAGAAGACAAGAGGAAGUGACAGCAAGUCACUUCCCACGAUCAUUCUGCAUAAUCGCUUCCCACGAUCUCUGACAGCCGCAUCACCUACCAUGGUCUCUGACAGCCAUUCGUAGGAUGAUAGUGCUCCUACUAACACCUAUUGUCAUCAUCACAACAGAAAAUAUCUCCCCACCAUUAAUGAGAGGAACAGUACCCCUGAAGCUGUAUAUAUAUGACUUCACACGAAGAAGAAAGGGAUGAUCUCCCGGUAACCUCUUGACACCUAGUAAAAGGCCAACUGCCUCAUAUAUCUUAUUCUCUUAUCAUGGCUAACAACAUCAUCGGAGGGUGCAUCCGGACACCUUGUCCGGAUGCCUUUUUACAGGUACAACCACUGAAUCAAGAACCCCUUGUGUGUUGAGAAUCGCGUGUCCAUCCAUCUAGCAGCAACGCGGCCCACCUGAUACGCGAGGUGACAACAUUGGCGCCGUCUGUGGGAACCUUUUACUUUUUAUUUUGAUUCAGUCACUAGCAAAGAUGGCCACACCUUCCCAAAGUCGAUCAUCUGGUAGAGAGGAAGAAGAUAAUCACGAAUGGCGUCAAGCCAUCGAAAAAAGACAGUUGGCGAGCGAAAAACAGCUAAGAGCUCUCCUCCAGGAGACGGAGAGGUUAAGGGAAGAAAACGCUGUGUUACGCAUUCAAGCCUCAACAUCAAGACCUCCUCGUCGUCAGCGCUCAAAAGGUCAAGUGGCGAACUCAAGGCCAGAGCCAGAAUCAAUAUAUCCUGGGUCAACAGGAGCUGUCCCAGGAACAUACAACGCAAGGCCCCAUGAGCCACGCACACCCAUGCCUCGAGCUCCCCGUGAGGAAAGCUCAGAUUCCACUCAUUUCUCAGCAAAAAGACAACGUGAUAGAAAAUCACAGUUGUCAAGUUCUAUGCGCGCAAGACUAGACCCACAGGAGCCUGGGAGAUCAAGGCCACCAGUAGCCACAACUCGGGCGCCACGCCCCGAUCCUAUGAUUGCUCCCAUGGUGCAGAACGUACCUCCGCAUCGUGACCCCAUGGUCACCCCAGCGAUGCGGAACGUUCACUCACACCUAGCGGAACGAUCACUCACACCUAGCGGAACGACCAGCUGGGAGAAACCUCCCAAACGAGCCACCCAUUGGCUCCAUCAGCAAAAGGCUGGAUGACAUGCUCUCCACGCCCUUUUGCUCUCAUAUCACCCAUUACGAGCCCCCAAGAGGAUUUCUCGUACCAAAGUUUUCCACAUACGAUGGGACCAACGAUCCCUUCGAUCACAUCAUGCACUAUCGACAGCUUAUGACGCUCGAUAUUGGCAACGAUGCAUUAUUAUGCAAAGUAUUCCUUGCCAGCCUUCAAGGGCAGGCCCUUUCAUGGUUUCAUCGCCUACCUCCUAACUCUGUUGACAAUUUUAGGGACCUCUCUGAAGCAUUCGUGGGACAGUACUUAUGCUCUGCUCGACACAAGCAGAAUAUCAGCACCCUCCAGAACAUAAAAAUGAAAGACAACGAAUCCUUGAGGGAAUUUGUGAAACGAUUUGGCCAAGCCGUACUCCAAAUAGAGGUUUGCAGCAUGGACGCUGUCCUACAGAUCUUCAAAAGAAGCAUCUGUCCAGGCACCCCAUUUUUCGAAUCGCUGGCAAAAAAACCUCCUACAACGAUGGACGAUUUGUUCAGACGCGCUAACAAAUAUUCAAUGCUCGAAGAUGACGUACGUGCAGCCACUCAGCAAGUUUUGGUUGCCGGACGGGCUUCUAGAGAUAACGUGGACAGACAUGCCAAACCUCCGGACCGGCCAAAACCAAUUGACCGGAGGCAGGACGGGCCGAGUCGUCCGGAUAGGCCGUCCAUCACACCCCUAUCCAUAUCAUACGAAAAACUUCUCCCAAUGAUCCAAGGGUUGUCCGACUUCAGGUGGCCUAGACCCCUCGAAACGGACCCAUCUAUAAGAGACCGCAGCAAGAAAUGCGCCUUCCACAAAGACCAUGGUCAUACAACAAAGACAUGUCGGUCCCUCCAGUAUCUAGUUGAGAGGCUCAUCAAAGCAAGACAUUUAAAACAGUACCUCCCCUCAGAUACUGGAGGAAGGGACGCAUCACAGCAUCAUAACUCUGGGGCCCCGAGGGCCCCAGUCGCCCCCAAGGCUGUCAUAAACUAUAUCAACGGGGGCCCAUCUGACGAGGAAUACGAUUCCAGGCGGAAAAGACAGAAAUUGCUGCGAGCCGCGUCAAUACGCGAACGCAUUAAUUCCAUCCGGCCGGGUCUUACUGGGGAGGGCCCUCGCCCCAUUGAUGGGACAAUCAUUUUCCCACCAGUAGAUCCCACCCGAACGCUACAGCCACAUCGCGACGCCCUCAUCCUCUCUCUAGAAAUAGGAGAUUUUGAUGUAAGACGUAUCUUGGUUGAUCCAGGCAGUUCAGCCGAUCUAGUACAAGCAUCAGUCAUUGGCCAUAUGGGACAUAGUCCCGCGGGUCUCGAAAACCCCGGACGAAUCUUAUCCGGAUUCAACGGAUCAUCAACAACAUCCUUAGGAGACAUUAUACUGCCGAUUCGAGCUGGACCAGUCACUCUCAACGUGCAAUUCUCGGUGGUACAAGAGUUGUCACCCUUCAAUGUCAUCUUGGGACGCACAUGGCUUCACUACAUGAAAGCCAUCCCUUCCACAUAUCAUCAAAUGGUGAGUUUCCUCACCAACGAAGGGCAAACUGACUUGUAUGGCAGCCAGUUAGCCGCUCGCCAGUGCUACCAAAUAGCACGUGAAGCAGUCGCUAACCAGGAGGAUGCAUCUCCCCCUGAACCUAGCAUUGCGCACGACCAAUAGCAAUUAUUGGGUCCGGUGGACAAGGAUCCCCCGGUAGCAGAUCCCUUACAAACAAUCCAAAUCUCAGAAGAGAAUGAUCACCUCACAAACGUCAGUUCCCUCAUGACACAAGAAGAAACCCAGAGCAUACAAAAUAUCCUUCGAAGCAACCAUGACAUCUUCGCAUGGACACAUUCGGAUAUGAAGGGAAUUCAUCCCUCUAUCGCCUCUCACAAGCUUAACGUCCUUCCAGCAGCCAGACCCAUUCGACAGAAGAUUAGACGCUUUCACCCGGAUAGACAAAGAGUUAUCCAAGAUGAAAUUAACAAAUUGUUGGAAGCAGGAUUCAUCAGAGAGGUAUCUUAUCCGGAUUGGUUGGCAAAUGUAGUAGUGGUACCAAAGAAAGAGGGCAAAUGGCGAGUCUGUGUUGAUUACACCAAUCUCAAUAAUGCAUGCCCAAAAGACAGUUUUCCCUUACCACGGAUAGAUCAAAUUGUGGAUUCCACUUCCGGGCAAGGGAUGCUCUCUUUCUUGGAUGCCUUCUCCGGAUAUCACCAAAUUCCCAUGUCUCCGGAUGACGAAGAAAAAACAGCAUUCAUAACGCCACACGGCCUCUAUUGCUACAAAGUCAUGCCAUUCGGACUCAAAAACGCUGGCGCCACGUAUCAAAGAUUGAUGACUAAAAUCUUCAAACCUCUGAUAGGCCGCUCGGUCGAGGUAUACAUUGACGAUAUCGUGGUUAAAAGCAAAACUCGAGAGCAGCAUAUCCUCCAUCUACAAGAAGUAUUUUACCUCUUGCGAAAGUACGACAUGAAGCUAAAUCCUUCCAAAUGUGCCUUUGGCGUGAGUGCUGGCAAGUUUCUGGGAUUUAUGGUCAGCCAAAGAGGCAUAGAAGUCAGCCCGGAUCAAGUCAAAGCAGUCAUGGAGACACCUCCCCCCAGGAACAAAAAGGAGUUACAACGCCUCACAGGCAAGCUCGUUGCGUUAGGACGUUUUAUAGCCCGCUUCACUGAUGAGUUGCGACCCUUCUUCUUAGCGAUACGAAAAGCUGGAACCCAGGGAUGGACGGACAAUUGCCAAAACGCGUUGGAAAGAAUUAAACAUUGUCUUAUGCAUCCACCCAUCUUGAGCAGCCCCAUCCCAAAGGAAAAGCUAUAUAUGUAUUUAGCUGUCUCAGAAUGGGCAAUCAGCACCGCUCUAUUCCGCUGCCCUUCACCAAAGGAGCAGAAACCUGUCUACUAUGUCAGCAGGGCAUUGGCAGAUGUAGAAACCAGGUAUUCAAAAAUGGAGCUAACAGCCUUAGCUCUUCGAAGUGCUGCCCAAAAGCUCCGCCCCUAUUUUCAAGCCCACCCAGUGAUUGUACUGACCGAUCAACCCCUUCGCAGCAUUCUACACAAACCAGAUUUAACUGGGCGAAUGCUACAAUGGGCCAUCGAAUUGAGCGAAUUUGGAAUCGAAUUCCAACCCAGAUUAUCCAAAAAAGGCCAAGUAAUGGCCGACUUUGUGCUCGAAUAUUCACGAAGACCCAACCAGCACCACGAAUCAAGUGAACAGGAGUGGUGGACACUACGAGUUGACGGAGCCUCGCGCUCAUCAGGCUCUGGAGUUGGGCUCGUAUUACAGUCCCCAACUAGGGAACAUCUGGAGCAAACCAUCCGGUUGGGAUUCUCCGCGUCUAACAAUGAGGCAGAAUACGAGGCCAUCCUGUCCGGAUUGGACCUCGCCCUUGCUCUAUCUGUCUCCAAACUCCGGAUCUACAGCGACUCGCAACUAGUGGUAAGGCACAUCCAGAAAGAAUAUGAGGCUAAGGACUCACGCAUGGCGCGAUACUUGGCCAAAGUAAGAAGCACCUUACAGCAAUUCACCGAGUGGACAAUCGAAAAAAUUAAGCGAGCUGACAAUAGGCACGCUGACGCUUUGGCCGGCAUAGCUGCCUCUCUACCUAUCAAAGAAGCCAUUCUAUUGCCCAUAUAUGUGCAAGCCAAUCCCUCUGUCGCAGAAAAUUCCACUUGCAACACCAUUGAGGCAACCCAAACGGAUAAUCAAGAAUGGACGCAGGAUAUUGCAGAAUAUAUCCGGACAGGCACUUUACCCAAAGAUCUUAAACAAGCACACAAAAUCCGGGUGCAGGCUGCCCGCUUCACCCUGAUCGGGGGANNNNNNNNNNNNNNNNNNNNNNNNNNNNNNNNNNNNNNNNNNNNNNNNNNNNNNNNNNNNNNNNNNNNNNNNNNNNNNNNNNNNNNNNNNNNNNNNNNNNNNNNNNNNNNNNNNNNNNNNNNNNNNNNNNNNNNNNNNNNNNNNNNNNNNNNNNNNNNNNNNNNNNNNNNNNNNNNNNNNNNNNNNNNNNNNNNNNNNNNNNNNNNNNNNNNNNNNNNNNNNNNNNNNNNNNNNNNNNNNNNNNNNNNNNNNNNNNNNNNNNNNNNNNNNNNNNNNNNNNNNNNNNNNNNNNNNNNNNNNNNNNNNNNNNNNNNNNNNNNNNNNNNNNNNNNNNNNNNNNNNNNNNNNNNNNNNNNNNNNNNNNNNNNNNNNNNNNNNNNNNNNNNNGAGUCCGGACUGUAGAUCGCGCGUCAAACGCGGCUUCUUGAGGGGAGGCCCUUUCACCAGGACUAUAGCCAGGCGAUCCGGGUCGUCGGAAGGCUGACUUUGGCUUUCUGCUCCCGCUUCCUCCAACGGGGCCGUUUCAGCUGCAUCAGCAUCCGGAUUAAGGUUGCCCGGACGGUUGAUAGAUGCAGCUUCCUCAGCCACGUUAGCCAGACGCGCAGCCGCGACCAAGGAAGGACCUGAGUGAUUCAACCCCGACAUGCGUCCGGGGCCGCUUGAGAUAGAGUGCGGAGCAGCAUUUACUGGCUCCUCUAUCAUUACUUCCCCCUCAUAGGUAGUUUGGGGAGGAGGAAACUGCUUGGGAGGAGUGGGUUCCUUCAUGUCCUUCCCAUGCUUCUUCACCAGCUUCCCCCUUUUUCCUGAAGUUUUCUUUGGAGGAGAGUCCGGACCCCGCUUCUGUCCGGGAGCCUUCCGGAUAGUGCCUUCAGUUUUUUUCUGAUCUCUAUCCUCCAGGAGCUUUCGCCGCCUUUCAGCGUCAGCCUCUUUGGCUUCCUGACAGAGGGGGAGCUCCUUCACAGUAUAAUGCUCCCCAGGCACUAUCUCAUCCUUUGCCAAUUUCCUAGGAAGAAUAUUGAUAACAUAUUCCUGGGGCUCCCGGACGACCUCCGUCAAAUUCCGCGCGGAAAGCAAUGUUUUGUAGGCCCUCUCCUUGGGGUCUAUUUCAAAUAAUUUGCAGACGCAGGCAAAGGACGCCUUUUCCACCCAAUCCACAAGGUGGCCCCUCAAUUCCAAACCUGCAUUGUCAGCAACAAAGGGUGAGAAUUCUGUCCGGAAAAAUCAGAAAAAAUCAGCAAAGCAAAAUCCGAAUAAAAAAUCGCAAAACAAGAUUACCCGGGAUUUGUAAGGUAUAAUUCGGAGAAAAAGGCCUCGACGGAUGCUGCGAUAGCCCCGCCCAUCCACCCCAGACUGCCACCAGCCCCUUCGCCCCUCCCUUUGUCGAAUCUGGCAGUUCUGUCACCAUUUGAAGGGAGGGCAGGUGAGCGGACACACUGAAGAUAUCAUUCUUUGCUUUCUUCAGGGAAUAGACAAAGAACAAUUCCAGUAGCGUAAGGUCGAGGCUGUACAGCAUGUUGAUAAUGCUGCAUCCCAUCAGCACCCGGACAAGGUUGGGAUGAAUGAAGAUGGGUGGAAUCUGAGAGAAGUGGAGGAAUUCCUUGAACAAGGCUGGCAGAGGGAACCGGAGCCCCGCGUUGAAUUGUUCCUUUGUGAAGAGGAUAGCGUUUUUUCCACCUUUCUCAGUAGGAAUAGCCGCCUCCUCGUUCACCAGGUCUAUCAAUACGUCAUGGGGGAUGCGGAAUCGCUCCCGGAACUCCUUCGCAUUUANNNNNNNNNNNNNNNNNNNNNNNNNNNNNNNNNNNNNNNNNNNNNNNNNNNNNNNNNNNNNNNNNNNNNNNNNNNNNNNNNNNNNNNNNNNNNNNNNNNNAAUCUGGCAGUUCUGUCACCAUUUGAAGGGAGGGCAGGUGAGCGGACACACUGAAGAUAUCAUUCUUUGCUUUCUUCAGGGAAUAGACAAAGAACAAUUCCAGUAGCGUAAGGUCGAGGCUGUACAGCAUGUUGAUAAUGCUGCAUCCCAUCAGCACCCGGACAAGGUUGGGAUGAAUGAAGAUGGGUGGAAUCUGAGAGAAGUGGAGGAAUUCCUUGAACAAGGCUGGCAGAGGGAACCGGAGCCCCGCGUUGAAUUGUUCCUUUGUGAAGAGGAUAGCGUUUUUUCCACCUUUCUCAGUAGGAAUAGCCGCCUCCUCGUUCACCAGGUCUAUCAAUACGUCAUGGGGGAUGCGGAAUCGCUCCCGGAACUCCUUCGCAUUUAGUUUAUCUAUCGCCUUUUCGCCAGCCUCGCUGACCCGGACAGACGAAACAGUCUUUUUUGGAGUCAUUUCUUACCACAAAGCCAAAGCAAAAUCUACACGCAAAAACAAUGCAAACGGUCCAGACCAAGCAAUCAGAAAAUACACAAACUCAAAGCAGUCAGAAAAACCCCUCAAAAACCCCUCCAAACAAACAACAAAGUACCAACAUUAAACAAACAAUUGCAAGCGACUUGUUCAAAACAAAGCCAGGAACCAAGUUUAAAGAACCGGCAAACGCAACCAAAGGAAUGACAAUAGCAAAGAGGUACGUACCAAAUAGAGCUCUGGAGAAGAAAAACGGUUACUCUCUCGGUAUAAAAUCACCGGCAACAAACAAACGAGGUCGUUCGAAGUUUUUCUCAGAAAAGCAAAGGACGCAGAAAAAGUAAGAAGAAGGAAGGCUCUCAAGAGAAUGCAGUAGAAAAAAUACAAAAAGAGGUACAGUGCCCUAUUUAUAGCAGGACAGCCCCUCGGAAAGCCAAACCAACAGCCGUGUUAUCAUUGAAACGACAUAUUGCCUGGGGAUACACAGGGUCGGCGGCUCGCCAUAAAUGCCUUUUUUGGCUUUCGCACCCCCACUCGCCACGUGGCUAAGUUAGACGAAUGGACUUUUUCAAUUUUCAAAAACCCAGUUAUUUUUAACCCGCCCAUUUUUUGGCAAAAUAAGCAAGUUAAAAAGGGGGGCAAUGUAGGGACCCCUCCCCUUGGGAAACACGUGGCACGCGGCUCAUGGUGACGCGUGGCACGUGCUGUCAGCCGGACCAUCAUCAUCCGGAUUCCCCUACAGAUACGUAUGGUGCGACUAUCCUAUCCGGAACCCCCCAAGGAAAGACAAACAACGUUUCAGCUUCUCCUAUCCAAGGAAGAGCAAACGACGCUGGCAGAACGUAGACACCCGGAUAGUCUCCACAAACACAUCCGGAUAUUCAGCAUGAUCCAUCCGGAUAUAAAUCGUCUGGAUGGUCAAUUAAAGUAAAGCGAGUCUUACACGCAAUCACAACAAACAGCCAUGGCCCACAUCCCAUCACCUGCAGAAUGAGAAGACAAGAGGAAGUGACAGCAAGUCACUUCCCACGAUCAUUCUGCAUAAUCGCUUCCCACGAUCUCUGACAGCCGCAUCACCUACCAUGGUCUCUGACAGCCAUUCGUAGGAUGAUAGUGCUCCUACUAACACCUAUUGUCAUCAUCACAACAGAAAAUAUCUCCCCACCAUUAAUGAGAGGAACAGUACCCCUGAAGCUGUAUAUAUAUGACUUCACACGAAGAAGAAAGGGAUGAUCUCCCGGUAACCUCUUGACACCUAGUAAAAGGCCAACUGCCUCAUAUAUCUUAUUCUCUUACCAUGGCUAACAACAUCAUCGGAGGGUGCAUCCGGACACCCUGUCCGGAUGCCUUUUUGCAGGUACAACCACUGAAUCAAGAACCCCUUGUGUGUUGAGAAUCGCGUGUCCAUCCAUCUAGCAGCAACGCGGCCCACCUGAUACGCGAGGUGACAACAGAGAGGUCAUCAUGCUCAUCCUAGUGCCAAUUAACUCAAAACAACUAAGGAUAAUUCUAUGAUGGGGUAAUUAUCGAACAAGGUGAUAUUACAUGAUAAGAAAAAGGUUUAUUUGAUAUCUCAAUAUAAUUUGAUAUUUAGGUUGCUUAAAAAGAUUAAAAUGAGAUUGAAGAAUGAUCCGUCAUUUUCGAAUUGUGUGGCGGGUCGAGUGUGGGGAACAUCAUCCUAAGAGUAAAGCCACGCCAGAGAGAAGUCCCACUGGCACUGAAAUCAAGGCAACUAGAAGAAAAGGCUUCAGUUACGUCGUCAACCGAAAGAGUUGAAGUGAAGCCAUCCAGAUGAGGCAUUAACUGCAAAGAAAAAACAAAACAUGUGGCUGCUUAAUUUCUUGAUAUGGUGGAGCCGCAUGAGGGCAUGAGUUGAGUAUAUAAGUGGAUGCAAGCUUCAUUCCUUGACCAUUAAGCCUCUUUGGGUUACUGAAUACUGAGAGUAGAACCAAAUUGCAAUGGCAAAUUCACCUGUAGUGUGGUUAGCAUCCGUGUGGCUUGUGUCCAAUAUAUUGUCCCUUCCAUUCCUGGAAUUGGGUAUAUCUUCUUGUGGUGGCUCAUGUCAAACACUUAAUGACUGUGAAGGUCAGCUCAUGCAUCGAUGGUAAAUGUAACGACGAUCCCGAGGUCGGGACUCACAUAAAUGGAGGAAGUUCAAUUACCCCUCCACCUCCACCUCCCGGUACCUGCCAGCCCUCCGGAACUCUUGCGUGCAAUGGUGGAAAACCCAAAAAUACCUACACAUGCUCUCCUCCGGUCACCUCCUCCACGCCUGCCGUUCUAACUAACAAUAAUUUUGAAAAAGGAGGGGACGGUGGAGGCCCAUCCACUUGCGACAACAAAUACCAUGACAAUUCAGAGCGCAUCGUAGCAUUGUCAACUGGGUGGUAUAAU
RNAcentral lists this long non-coding RNA (13391 nucleotides) under Vitis vinifera (wine grape). RNAcentral describes it as "long non-coding RNA (VVIN_LNC001695)". Lineage: Eukaryota; Viridiplantae; Streptophyta; Magnoliopsida; Vitales; Vitaceae. The record is from RNAcentral.